GUCAGGAUUAAACCUGUCCUAAUCUUUUAUUCCCAAUUUGGGGGAUUGAUCGUAUCCCGGAUUCUACUCCCUUUCCCUAAUCAAGUUCGAUUCGAAUUGAGUACAAUGGAUUUUUUUCCACUUGUUCGUCGCAGAGAUUUGUGUUUUCGGUGAACGACAUCCACCGGUGGAAUGCGGAAGCUUGAGAGGAAUAGAGAGAUCCAUUUGAAGAACAAACUUACAAUCGUAUUUGAAAGACAUGGUAAAAGAAGAGGAAAUUGUAGUUGUUGUCGAAGGUACAUAUGUAUGCAGUUGGUGUGGGUAAUAAUAGAAGAGGAGUUUCGACAGAGUACGAAUCUGUUAUGAGUUUGAUGAUUAAGAAAAUGUUUUUUAUUGGUCUUGUAUUGAGUGAAUGCUUGUUGCCGAUCUUGAUCAGGGAAAUCAUGGCCCCUAUCAAUGUUGUUGUUGUUGUUGGUGCAAGCGCGCGCCUCGUCGCCGUAGCGCUCGCGAGCCUGCUGCCCAUCUCGUCGAUCCAGCCUCCAGGCUGCAUAGGUUUACUUCGUGCGUAAUGUUGAAUUAAAUUUAGGGAUUUUUUGUGAGGAAUUCAAUUGCAUUGAUGGUACAAUGGAGUUUACGACAGCUGAACCGCCAAAGCGUCGUGGGUGUUGGAUUGAUUUUUCAUAAGGGAUUCCGUUCAUCGUAGAAUUAUGUUAA
Molecule: long non-coding RNA, 693 nt
Organism: Salvia miltiorrhiza (redroot sage)
Lineage: Eukaryota; Viridiplantae; Streptophyta; Magnoliopsida; Lamiales; Lamiaceae
Exons: 3
Source: RefSeq, a predicted model, not a curated record